This 76-nucleotide transfer RNA is filed under the name Ornithorhynchus anatinus (platypus). It matches the Rfam family "tRNA". Rfam says of the family: Transfer RNA (tRNA) molecules are approximately 80 nucleotides in length. Their secondary structure includes four short double-helical elements and three loops (D, anti-codon, and T loops). Further hydrogen bonds mediate the characteristic L-shaped molecular structure. tRNAs have two regions of fundamental functional importance: the anti-codon, which is responsible for specific mRNA codon recognition, and the 3' end, to which the tRNAs corresponding amino acid is attached (by aminoacyl-tRNA synthetases). tRNAs cope with the degeneracy of the genetic code in two manners: having more than one tRNA (with a specific anti-codon) for a particular amino acid; and 'wobble' base-pairing, i.e. permitting non-standard base-pairing at the 3rd anti-codon position. Lineage: Eukaryota; Metazoa; Chordata; Mammalia; Monotremata; Ornithorhynchidae. The record is from Rfam by way of RNAcentral.
AGCAGUGUGGCCUAGUGGGAAGAGCACAGGAUACAUAGGGAGUCAGAAAACCUGGGUUCUAAUCCCAGCUCUGCCA